GGAGAGGUGGCAGAGCUGGAUUAUCGCACCAGUCCUGAAAACUGGCAACCGUCAGUGAUGGCGGUUCGUGGGUUCGAAUCCCACCCUCUUCG
This 92-nucleotide transfer RNA is filed under the name Lachnospiraceae bacterium. RNAcentral describes it as "tRNA-Ser". It matches the Rfam family "tRNA". Rfam says of the family: Transfer RNA (tRNA) molecules are approximately 80 nucleotides in length. Their secondary structure includes four short double-helical elements and three loops (D, anti-codon, and T loops). The record is from RNAcentral. Lineage: Bacteria; Bacillati; Bacillota; Clostridia; Lachnospirales; Lachnospiraceae.